AGAUAAACAGGUGCUCCAGCACUUCCAGUCAAGGUAAACACUGAGGCAAGGACUGUUCCAUUCCUAAUCACUGAUGGUUUGACUUCAUUUCAGCACCUAGGUUGAUGUAGGGCGAAAAUGAGGCGAAGUAUUGUGUGAUGUGUUAUAAGGAUUUUUAGAUGAUCAAUCAAAUUAAUAAAUAGCUGACUACAGAUGGUUGAGUCUCAUCACCGCCUGCUGUAGAUGCAGCCAAACUAUAGCUUUCCACGGUUGUGCUCCCAUGGUUGCAAAUUUCCGAGUCACACUGCCAACCACAGAACCAGAUACAAGAACAUAAACAGAAUGGGGAAAAGGAGGAAAAUCAUCUGACGUAACUUCACACGACUGAAAACGAUGUCAUACUCACAGACCCAGGAUACAGGGAAAAUUGAGUAAUUAUCAAAAUAAGAUCAACUUACCCAGGCAUUGGGAAUUCCAACGUUGCGACUUCUUCUAAAAUGAACAAGAGAUCACGGCCAGAUCUGCAAAAAUGGACCAGAACCUAUUUCAGAAUAUAUAGAAAUGACUGCUGCAUUGACUCAGGUACGGCAUCAGUUACCAGCUGACCUUGAUUGAGGCGCAACUAUAGUGGCUUUCAGUGCCUUAAAGUAUCGAGUACCAAAAAAAUAUAAGCUCCUUUACAAACUGAUCGGUGCCUCAGAUACACAGGGCAUAUUAAGAUAUCUCCAACAAAUGAAUGUGUUGCAGUUUCCAAAUGAUACAUGCCUACAAGGAUGAAUUGCCAGCGUGAAGGAAGUUGAAAUUUGUGCUGACGGAUAUUGACUGAUCAUCAGGUUUAAUCCCUUUCUUUUCAGUUCGUGGUGAGGUGAUACACGAAAAGGAAAAUAGGAGAGUGAUGAUGUUAGAGGCUAUAUCAAGAUGGUGGUAAAAGUAACAUCCUAAACUGAAACUAUCAAAGAAAAUGUUGUACAUCAACAGACUCGGCAUCGAGGUGUUAAAUAAGUUUUCUACUAAUCCUAACAAAGAAAAAGUAAGGAAAUUUUGUGUACCUUGGAAUCCAGGUGUGUUAGAAGGUGUGCUCAGGAUAUCAACCCACUUAUUUCUUUGAAACUAAACUGGCACCUCACCCAUUUUCCUAAAAAGGAAGUUUGAGUAGGUGUCUUUCGCCAUUUGUUUUUCAGUAAAAUAAAAAUAUAAACAGUGUAAAAGCAGCUGGUGGAAUACCAUUACCAACUUAGAAAAAUAUUCACUGGCAAUAGAUAAUGAUUAAGCAGCUUAUUAAUUUUUUCAACAAAUAUAAGUAUGAACUUUUUUUGUAAGAAUGUGUUCUCAGUGAUUUUUUUACGAAGGUAGAUUGGAUUAAAGAAUCUUUCAUCAUUGUCAUACUAAUCAAUAGACAAAUUAUGAAAAUUAAUGAGACUGGUACCUCUGCGUGAAAGUAGCCCAAUCUGCGGCGCGGGAAUUUUAACUGAUUAGACUAUUUUGCAAUCUUUCUGAGAUGAAUGAAAAUUCUUAGUAGCUGGAGUAUAACUAUUUAGUCUGCGGCACAGUUCGUUAUUCAUGCCAAGGGGAGGGUCUAGAAUUCUAAAUCAUAAUGAGCAAGAAUGAAUGGAUGACCAUAUUCAAUUCAAUAUAUAUUGAAGUAAAAUAAAUAAAUUGUUUGCUUUCUCUGACAAUUAAGGGCAGAGAAAUUUCGAUCAGUACCUAGACCCAUUUCACCCAUUGAGUAUUUUUGAUGGUAGAGUAUUUCAGAGGACAUCCGAGAGCCGAGGAAGCCCAGUAAAACUGAAAUAUUUUUAAAAUAAUUAUGUAUUUAUAUUUUAAAGAUAUUGAAUAUAAUUGAAGUCUCUAGGUACUACCUUUUGGUCGU
Molecule: long non-coding RNA, 1849 nt
Organism: Bemisia tabaci
Lineage: Eukaryota; Metazoa; Arthropoda; Insecta; Hemiptera; Aleyrodidae
Source: RefSeq, a predicted model, not a curated record